GUGGGGAAUAUUGGACAAUGGGCGAAAGCCUGAUCCAGCCAUGCCGCGUGUGUGAAGAAGGUCUUCGGAUUGUAAAGCACUUUAAGUUGGGAGGAAGGGCAGUAAGUUAAUACCUUGCUGUUUUGACGUUACCGACAGAAUAAGCACCGGCUAACUUCGUGCCAGCAGCCGCGGUAAUACGAAGGGUGCAAGCGUUAAUCGGAAUUACUGGGCGUAAAGCGCGCGUAGGUGGUUUUGUAAGUUGGAGGUGAAAUCCCCGGGCUCAACCUGGGAACUGCCUCCAAAACUGCAUGACUAGAGUACGGUAGAGGGUAGUGGAAUUUCCUGUGUAGCGGUGAAAUGCGUAGAUAUAGGAAGGAACACCAGUGGCGAAGGCGACUACCUGGACUGAUACUGACACUGAGGUGCGAAAGCAUGGGGAGCAAACAGGAUUAGAUACCCCUGUAGUCC
Molecule: ribosomal RNA, 450 nt
Filed under: uncultured bacterium
Lineage: Bacteria
Description: partial 16S ribosomal RNA
Rfam family: Bacterial small subunit ribosomal RNA
Source: RNAcentral